This 404-nucleotide unclassified non-coding RNA is filed under the name soil metagenome. RNAcentral's name for it is "partial contains 5.8S ribosomal RNA, internal transcribed spacer 2, and large subunit ribosomal RNA". The stretch from base 1 to 121 matches the Rfam family "5.8S ribosomal RNA", at positions 35 to 154 of the family's 154-position model. The record is from RNAcentral.
GAUGAAGAACGUAGCAAAAUGCGAUACUUGGUGUGAAUUGCAGAAUCCCGUGAACCAUCGAGUUUUUGAACGCAAGUUGCGCCCGAAGCCUUUUGGCCGAGGGCACGUCUGCCUGGCGUCACGCAUCGCGUCGCCCACCACAAAUUCUCCGUCAGGGGAGCUUGUGUUUCGGGGGCGGAUACUGGUCUCCCGUGCUCAUGGCGCGGUUGGCCGAAAUAGGAGUCCCUUCGAUGGACGCACGAACUAGUGGUGGUCGUAAAAACCCUCGUCUUUUGUUUCGUGCCGUUAGUCGCGAGGGAAGCUCUUCAAAAACCCCAACGCGUCGUCUCUUGACGGCGCUUCGACCGCGACCCCAGGUCAGGCGGGACUACCCGCUGAGUUUAAGCAUAUCAAUAAGCGGAGGA